Molecule: long non-coding RNA, 1942 nt
Filed under: Oreochromis niloticus (Nile tilapia)
Lineage: Eukaryota; Metazoa; Chordata; Actinopteri; Cichliformes; Cichlidae
Description: lncRNA (ENSONIG00000040796.1)
Source: RNAcentral
CAGUAAUUCAUGUGACAUCUAAAAAAGCAUGUAAGCAAGCAAGCAUCAACUAAUUUCAUUGUUUUCCCCACAAAAAAGGUCUUUUUUUUGAUGGAAUGGUUGAUUAUAUGCUAAAAUAAGUGAUAUUUGUGACCAAAAAAAUCCCUAUAUGUACUGUCAAGGUACUGGGUCUGAGGACCAGGGUUUGUAUUUUCUGUUUUUAAAUUCUUUCUGAUUUUGUGUUAAUUAUUUUAUACUCCUCGUCUUUCUUGCAGUUUCAAGGAUUUAGAUUUUGUCUCUGUGCCUCCCUGUGUUCCACGUGUCAUGUCUAGUGUCCCCGAUCCCUAUGUUCAUCUCUCUGCUGUGCAUGCCCAGUCAGUGUGUCUCCAUGUCGCAGUGAGUUACUCUUGUCUCUGUGCUCCAUGUUCUCUCUGUCUCCCCUGUCAUCACUGCCUCCUUGUCAAGUCUGCAUCUCUGUGCCUGUCUUAUGUUUCCUGUUUUACUUUGACAGUCUUGUGUCCUGGGUUCAGAGUUUUCAGUUUUGCUUCCGCCCUGUCUCAUUUCGUCAGAUUGGUCCCAGCUGUGUUUCCCGCCUGUGUCCCAUUGCCUCAUCACUCUCUGGUGUGUUAAAGCCUUGUGUUUUCCUCUGUCCAUUGUUACGUCAUUAUCCUGUGUUCAUGUGUUUCUGCAGAGCGCCACGUAAUUCCAAGUUUUCUGUUCCAGUCUUAGUUUUCCAGUUUCCUAGCUUUAGUUCCAUGUUUCUAAUUCCUAGUUUCCCGAGUUUUGGUUAUUGGUGCUUUUUUGAACAGAAUGGCUUGCUAUACUAAUACAGCUGCCUCCCUAUCCCUCUGUGUCUUGUGAGUCCUGCAUUUGGGUCCUCAUCUUGCUUGCCACAGCACUAACCUUGGCAUAUAAGCAGAAAUCAUAUCGAUCCAAAGGCACAUUUAUCAAUUCAAGUAGACACAAACCUCAAGCUUAUCAAAUGUAUUAUCAUGUAAUUUAUUAACCAACUGGAUGAAAGAUAUUUGCAGAAAGUAACAAGGAAUGAAUAUUGGGUAACAGUACUGAACAUGUCCUGAGUGUGUUUGGAUGUUAGUGUGCACGUGUGUGGGAGUUUUCUGUGAAAACAAACUUGUGUGACCUUUUUGCCACAGUUUCUGUGGCUGUGGGUGCUGUCUGUUGAUUGAAUGUGAAAUGCUUUGCAUUAAAGCACUCAGGUCAGAAUUAGUUUUGCUGUGCACUGGCAGCUGACGUCCCUGUAUGUCAGCUCUCCUUGGGAAAUGAGAACUGCCUGAUGUGUCCUCAGUGGAUGGAACUGAUGGCCCAUCUUUAGCCAUCUCCUGAACUGCUUUCUCAACUGCUUCAAACAACUUGAUUGCCAUUUCUGCCUUUUCAGAAUCAAAGAGACUUUAUUAAUCCCAGAGGGAAUCUGAGUUGUCAUAGCAGCUAAUAUACAACAAACAUCAAGCACUCAUAUAAAAUUGUGCCACACAGUAAACAGUUCUGCAGCAUCUGAAAUUUCCCGUUGCUGACAAGACAGUUGGUGCUAUUUCUGUGCUGUCCUCUUGAGGGUUCAUCCCACACCAUCCAGUGGACCCUUCUGUGGCUCGCCGUUUCAUGUCCCAGCAGUGAAUACUAGUUUGAACAGUUCAGUAGAAAACAUAAAACAAUUCCCUCUCUGUCUCUAUUGAAAGCAUCACUGCAAAAGUGGAUUGUGAAUGUGCCCUCUGCAUGUAAUUGAGCACUGGUGACAAGUGCUGCCAGAUUGCUGGUGGGCCCUUAAAUCUUGAUGGGGACACUGUGCAGAAGGAUGUUGGAUGGGAGGAUGUAUGUAUAUAAAGCACAUCUGUGUGCUGGUGUGAUGUUCUGAAGUGGACUGCUUGUAUCUCUGUGCUAUAUUUUCAGAGCUCAUUUUCAGAGGUCAACAUGAAUCAAGUCUUCUUGUGCUUUCAAGCCUCGUCUC